This 497-nucleotide ribosomal RNA is filed under the name uncultured bacterium. RNAcentral's name for it is "partial 16S ribosomal RNA". It matches the Rfam family "Bacterial small subunit ribosomal RNA", at positions 28 to 507 of the family's 1533-position model. The record is from RNAcentral.
GAUGAACGCUGGCGGCGUGCCUAAUACAUGCAAGUCGAGCGAACAGACGAGGAGCUUGCUCCUCUGAAGUUAGCGGCGGACGGGUGAGUAACACGUGGAUAACCUACCUAUAAGACUGGGAUAACUUCGGGAAACCGGAUCUAAUACCGGAUAAUAUAGUGAACCGCAUGGUUCAAUAGUGAAAGACGGUUUUGCUGUCACUUAUAGAUGUAUCCGCGCCGCAUUAGCUAGUUGGUAAGGUAACGGCUUACCAAGGCAACGAUGCGUAGCCGACCUGAGAGGGUGAUCGGCCACACUGGAACUGAGACACGGUCCAGACUCCUACGGGAGGCAGCAGUAGGGAAUCUUCCGCAAUGGGCGAAAGCCUGACGGAGCAACGCCGCGUGAGUGAUGAAGGUCUUCGGAUCGUAAAACUCUGUUAUUAGGGAAGAACAAAUGUGUAAGUAACUAUGCACGUCUUGACGGUACCUAAUCAGAAAGCCACGGCUAACUACGUG